RNAcentral lists this ribosomal RNA (513 nucleotides) under Sungouiella intermedia. RNAcentral's name for it is "[Candida] intermedia partial large subunit ribosomal RNA". It matches the Rfam family "Eukaryotic large subunit ribosomal RNA", at positions 77 to 658 of the family's 3401-position model. The record is from RNAcentral. Lineage: Eukaryota; Fungi; Ascomycota; Pichiomycetes; Serinales; Metschnikowiaceae.
GCCUCAGUAACGGCGAGUGAAGCGGCAAAAGCUCAAAUUUGAAAUCCUUCGGGAGUUGUAAUUUGUAGGUUGGGAGACCCCGCGGCUAGUGGCACCAAGUCCCUUGGAACAGGGCGCCUUAGAGGGUGAGAGCCCCGUAGGUACCACAACACCGUCUUGUGUCUCCUCUCCAAAGAGUCGAGUUGUUUGGGAAUGCAGCUCAAAGUGGGUGGUAAAUUCCAUCUAAAGCUAAAUACCGGCGAGAGACCGAUAGCGAACAAGUACAGUGAUGGAAAGAUGAAAAGCACUUUGAAAAGAGAGUGAAACAGUACGUGAAAUUGUUGAAAGGGAAGGGCUUGCAAGCAGACACGGCCUUCGUGCCGGGCCAGCAUCGGUUGCUAGGGGUGGAUAAGGAACAAGGAAUGUAGCUCCUCGGAGUAUUAUAGCCUUGCGCGAUACACCCACUGGCGACCGAGGCCUGCGGUAUUCCUACCUAGGAUGCUGGCGUAAUGGUUGCAAGCCGCCCGUCUUGAA